RNAcentral lists this ribosomal RNA (774 nucleotides) under uncultured Neocallimastigales. Its description in RNAcentral is "partial large subunit ribosomal RNA". It matches the Rfam family "Eukaryotic large subunit ribosomal RNA", at positions 20 to 645 of the family's 3401-position model. Lineage: Eukaryota; Fungi; Neocallimastigomycota; Neocallimastigomycetes; Neocallimastigales. The record is from RNAcentral.
UACUAGAGUAGCACUCGCAUAUCAAUAAGCGGAGGAAAAGAAACUAACAAGGAUUCCCCUAGUAACGGCGAGUGAAGCGGGAAGAGCUCAAAUUUGAGAUCUUAAAGGGUUUCCCUUUACGAAUUGUAGUUUAAAGAAGUGUUUUCUGUUGAGGUUUUGGUAAAAGUUCUUUGGAAUAGGACAUCAUAGAGGGUGAGAAUCCCGUAUUUGACCUUUACUUUCAACUUUGUGAUACACUUUCAAAGAGUCGGAUUGUUUGGGAAUGCAGUCCAAAAUGGGUGGUAAAUUUCAUCUAAAGCUAAAUAUUGGCGAGAGACCGAUAGCGAACAAGUACCGUGAGGGAAAGAUGAAAAGAACUUUGAAAAGAGAGUUAAACAGUACGUGAAAUUGUCAAAAGGGAAGCGUUUGACACCAGUGUUGUUUUUCUGAAAAUCAAUUAAAGAACUGUUUAUGCUAAGCUGUUUAGACUUUAUCAGCUAUCUGUUUAGUUUUGAGCUUUUCUUUAAUGCACUUUUCAGUUAACAGGUCAACAUCAAUUUCUUUUGCUGUAAAAAAGCUUGAGGAAGGUGGCCUGAGAUUCGUCUUAAGUGUUUAUAGCCUCUUGCCUAUGCAGUCGGAGAGAUUGAGGUCUGCAGCGUAGAUCCUUCGGGGCUAAAUGCAUUUGUGCUAAGUCAUAGCAUUUUAUAGACAACUUGUUGACUAUGAUUUGUCUUGUAGCUUACUCGCUUAUGUUAUUUUACCUACGCUUAGGAUGUUGAUCUCUCACAGUCGAGC